This 253-nucleotide ribosomal RNA is filed under the name uncultured bacterium. RNAcentral's name for it is "partial 16S ribosomal RNA". It matches the Rfam family "Bacterial small subunit ribosomal RNA", at positions 524 to 776 of the family's 1533-position model. The record is from RNAcentral.
GACAGAGGGGGCAAGCGUUGCUCGGAAUCACUGGGCGUAAAGGGCGCGUAGGCGGGAUGGCAAGUCAGUCGUGAAAUCUCUCGGCUCAACCGAGAAACGUCGGCUGAUACUGCCGUUCUUGAGGGAUGCAGAGGAGACUGGAAUUCCCGGUGUAGCGGUGAAAUGUGUAGAUAUCGAGAGGAACACCUGCGGCGAAGGCGGGUUGCUGGGCUGAUACUGACGCUGAGGCGCGAAAGCUAGGGGAGCGAACGGG